RNAcentral lists this ribosomal RNA (468 nucleotides) under uncultured bacterium. RNAcentral describes it as "partial 16S ribosomal RNA". It matches the Rfam family "Bacterial small subunit ribosomal RNA", at positions 28 to 507 of the family's 1533-position model. The record is from RNAcentral.
GACGAACGCUGGCGGCGUGCUUAACACAUGCAAGUCGAACGGAAAGGCCCUGCUUUUGUGGGGUGCUCGAGUGGCGAACGGGUGAGUAACACGUGAGUAACCUGCCCUUGACUUUGGGAUAACUUCAGGAAACUGGGGCUAAUACCGGAUAGGAGCUCCUGCUGCAUGGUGGGGGUGGGAAAGUUUCGGCGGUUGGGGAUGGACUCGCGGCUUAUCAGCUUGUUGGUGGGGUAGUGGCUUACCAAGGCUUUGACGGGUAGCCGGCCUGAGAGGGUGACCGGCCACAUUGGGACUGAGAUACGGCGCAGACUCCUACGGGGGGCAGCAGUGGGGAAUAUUGCACAAUGGGCGGGAGCGUGAUGCAGCAACGCCGCGUGCGGGAUGACGGCCUUCGGGUUGUAAACCGCUUUCGCCUGUGACGAAGCGUGAGUGACGGUAAUGGGUAAAGAAGCACCGGCUAACUACGUG